GAGGGUAUGAUCCCGGCUCAGGGUGAACGCUAGCGGCGCGCCUAACACAUGCAAGUCGUGCGAUCGGACCCCGUGAAGCCCCUUCGGGGGCGGAACGGGGUUACGGAGCGGCGGACGGGUGAGUAACACGUAGCUAACCUGCCCCCGCGACGGGGAUAACCCGGGGAAACCCGGGCUAAUACCCGAUGGUCUUCCGGGGCCAAAAGGCCCUGGAAGUAAAGGCGCUUUUUGGCGCCGCGCGGGGAGGGGGCUGCGGCCCAUCAGCUAGACGGUGGGGUAACGGCCCACCGUGGCGAUGACGGGUAGGGGGCCUGAGAGGGUGGCCCCCCACAUGGGGACUGAGACACGGCCCUGACUCCUACGGGAGGCAGCAGUGGGGAAUCUUGGGCAAUGCCCGAAAGGGUGACCCAGCGACGCCGCGUGGGGGACGAAGCCCUUCGGGGUGUAAACCCCUUUUCUGGGGGAAGAAUAAGGCGGGGAGGAAAUGCCCCGCCGAUGACGGUACCCCAGGAAUAAGCCCCGGCUAACUACGUGCCAGCAGCCGCGGUAAGACGUAGGGGGCGAGCGUUACCCGGAUUCACUGGGCGUAAAGGGCGUCUAGGCGGUUCGGCAAGUCGCCUGUGAAAGCCCCUGGCUCAACUGGGGGAGGUCGGGCGAUACUGCCGGGCUAGAGGGCGGCAGAGGAAGGUGGAACGGCCAGAGUAGCGGUGAAAUGCGUAGAUACUGGCCGGUACCCCGAUGGCGAAGGCAACCUUCUGGGCCGUCCCUGACGCUGAAGCGCGAAAGCGUGGGGAGCGAACCGGAUUAGAUACCCGGGUAGUCCACGCCCUAAACGAUGUGGGCUAGGUGUCGGGCCGCAACUGGCUCGGUGCCGCAGCUAACGCGUUAAGCCCACCGCCUGGGGAGUACGGUCGCAAGGCUGAAACUCAAAGGAAUUGACGGGGGCCCGCACAAGCGGUGGAGUAUGUGGUUUAAUUCGAUGCAACGCGAAGAACCUUACCUGGGCUUGACAUCCUGCGAACCUGCUGGAAACAGUGGGGUGCCCUUCGGGGAACGCGGAGACAGGUGC
This 1069-nucleotide ribosomal RNA is filed under the name Candidatus Acetothermia bacterium. RNAcentral's name for it is "bacterial SSU rRNA". It matches the Rfam family "Bacterial small subunit ribosomal RNA", at positions 8 to 1041 of the family's 1533-position model. The record is from RNAcentral. Lineage: Bacteria; Candidatus Bipolaricaulota.